RNAcentral lists this ribosomal RNA (1415 nucleotides) under Escherichia coli. RNAcentral describes it as "partial 23S ribosomal RNA". It matches the Rfam family "Bacterial large subunit ribosomal RNA", at positions 1552 to 2925 of the family's 2925-position model. The record is from RNAcentral. Lineage: Bacteria; Pseudomonadati; Pseudomonadota; Gammaproteobacteria; Enterobacterales; Enterobacteriaceae.
AAGGCUGAGGCGUGAUGACGAGGCACUACGGUGCUGAAGCAACAAAUGCCCUGCUUCCAGGAAAAGCCUCUAAGCAUCAGGUAACAUCAAAUCGUACCCCAAACCGACACAGGUGGUCAGGUAGAGAAUACCAAGGCGCUUGAGAGAACUCGGGUGAAGGAACUAGGCAAAAUGGUGCCGUAACUUCGGGAGAAGGCACGCUGAUAUGUAGGUGAAGUCCCUCGCGGAUGGAGCUGAAAUCAGUCGAAGAUACCAGCUGGCUGCAACUGUUUAUUAAAAACACAGCACUGUGCAAACACGAAAGUGGACGUAUACGGUGUGACGCCUGCCCGGUGCCGGAAGGUUAAUUGAUGGGGUCAGCGCAAGCGAAGCUCUUGAUCGAAGCCCCGGUAAACGGCGGCCGUAACUAUAACGGUCCUAAGGUAGCGAAAUUCCUUGUCGGGUAAGUUCCGACCUGCACGAAUGGCGUAAUGAUGGCCAGGCUGUCUCCACCCGAGACUCAGUGAAAUUGAACUCGCUGUGAAGAUGCAGUGUACCCGCGGCAAGACGGAAAGACCCCGUGAACCUUUACUAUAGCUUGACACUGAACAUUGAGCCUUGAUGUGUAGGAUAGGUGGGAGGCUUUGAAGUGUGGACGCCAGUCUGCAUGGAGCCGACCUUGAAAUACCACCCUUUAAUGUUUGAUGUUCUAACGUGGACCCGUGAUCCGGGUUGCGGACAGUGUCUGGUGGGUAGUUUGACUGGGGCGGUCUCCUCCUAAAGAGUAACGGAGGAGCACGAAGGUUGGCUAAUCCUGGUCGGACAUCAGGAGGUUAGUGCAAUGGCAUAAGCCAGCUUGACUGCGAGCGUGACGGCGCGAGCAGGUGCGAAAGCAGGUCAUAGUGAUCCGGUGGUUCUGAAUGGAAGGGCCAUCGCUCAACGGAUAAAAGGUACUCCGGGGAUAACAGGCUGAUACCGCCCAAGAGUUCAUAUCGACGGCGGUGUUUGGCACCUCGAUGUCGGCUCAUCACAUCCUGGGGCUGAAGUAGGUCCCAAGGGUAUGGCUGUUCGCCAUUUAAAGUGGUACGCGAGCUGGGUUUAGAACGUCGUGAGACAGUUCGGUCCCUAUCUGCCGUGGGCGCUGGAGAACUGAGGGGGGCUGCUCCUAGUACGAGAGGACCGGAGUGGACGCAUCACUGGUGUUCGGGUUGUCAUGCCAAUGGCACUGCCCGGUAGCUAAAUGCGGAAGAGAUAAGUGCUGAAAGCAUCUAAGCACGAAACUUGCCCCGAGAUGAGUUCUCCCUGACCCUUUAAGGGUCCUGAAGGAACGUUGAAGACGACGACGUUGAUAGGCCGGGUGUGUAAGCGCAGCGAUGCGUUGAGCUAACCGGUACUAAUGAACCGUGAGGCUUAACCUUACAACGCCGAAGGUGUUU